This 290-nucleotide ribosomal RNA is filed under the name uncultured bacterium. RNAcentral's name for it is "partial 16S ribosomal RNA". It matches the Rfam family "Bacterial small subunit ribosomal RNA", at positions 43 to 357 of the family's 1533-position model. The record is from RNAcentral.
UCAGGCAAAAAACAUGCAAGUCAUACGGGAAUUUUGAAUUCAAGUGGCGGACGGGUGAGUAACACGUAAGAAUUUACCUUUAGGAGGGGGAUAACAGCUGGAAACGGUUGCUAAUACCCCAUAGGCUUUCGAGUGAAAUGGAUUUUUCCGCCUAAAGAGAAGCUUGCGGCUGAUGAGCUUGUUGGUGAGGUAAUGGCUUACCAAGGCGACGAUCAGUAUCUGGUUUUUGGGGGGGAUCAGACACACUGGAACUGAGACACGGUCCAGACUCCUACGGGAGGCAGCAGUGG